This 492-nucleotide ribosomal RNA is filed under the name uncultured bacterium. RNAcentral's name for it is "partial 16S ribosomal RNA". It matches the Rfam family "Bacterial small subunit ribosomal RNA", at positions 29 to 507 of the family's 1533-position model. The record is from RNAcentral.
AGUGAACGCUGGCGGUAGGCCUAACACAUGCAAGUCGAACGGCAGCACAGUAAGAGCUUGCUCUUACGGGUGGCGAGUGGCGGACGGGUGAGGAAUACAUCGGAAUCUACUUUUUCGUGGGGGAUAACGUAGGGAAACUUACGCUAAUACCGCAUACGACCUACGGGUGAGAGCAGGGGAUCUUCGGACCUUGCGCGAUUGAAUGAGCCGAUGUCGGAUUAGCUAGUUGGCGGGGUAAAGGCCCACCAAGGCGACGAUCCGUAGCUGGUCUGAGAGGAUGAUCGGCCACACUGGAACUGAGACACGGUCCAGACUCCUACGGGAGGCAGCAGUGGGGAAUAUUGGACAAUGGGCGCAAGCCUGAUCCAGCCAUACCGCGUGGGUGAAGAAGGCCUUCGGGUUGUAAAGCCCUUUUGUUGGGAAAGAAAAGCAGCAGGUUAAUACCCCGCUGUUCUGACGGUACCCAAAGAAUAAGCACCGGCUAACUUCGUG